CGGAUCCCCAACGCAACUGUAAAUAAAAUUGUAAAUAUUCUAAUUUCAAAAGUGUACAAUUCCGAAUUUCAAAUUCGAACAUGUUCGCGUGUGUAUAGAUAAUUUAGUUAUUUUUUUAGGCAACGGAAUAGAUAACGAACCAAGAUGAUCGACCCCAGCUCCUCAGAGGAAGACAGUGAUGAUGAACAUAAGAAGCAACCAGCCAAAUUACCAGUAGUGCCCCCCGGGUCGAUCGCGGGCGGCCGGCCCUCAGUCCGGGGGAAGCCGGAGUUGCCGCGAGGGUCUACUGCUGGUCUUCCAGGC
Molecule: long non-coding RNA, 303 nt
Organism: Amyelois transitella
Lineage: Eukaryota; Metazoa; Arthropoda; Insecta; Lepidoptera; Pyralidae
Exons: 3
Source: RefSeq, a predicted model, not a curated record